GCUCAACCGAAGAAGUGCAUCGGAAACUGGGAAACUUGAGUGCAGAAGAGGACAGUGGAACUCCAUGUGUAGCGGUGAAAUGCGUAGAUAUAUGGAAGAACACCAGUGGCGAAGGCGGCUGUCUGGUCUGUAACUGACGCUGAGGCUCGAAAGUAUGGGUAGCAAACAGGAUUAGAUACCCUGGUAGUCCAUACCGUAAACGAUGAAUGCUAAGUGUUGGAGGGUUUCCGCCCUUCAGUGCUGCAGCUAACGCAUUAAGCAUUCCGCCUGGGGAGUACGGCCGCAAGGCUGAAACUCAAAGGAAUUGACGGGGGCCCGCACAAGCGGUGGAGCAUGUGGUUUAAUUCGAAGCUACGCGAAGAACCUUACCAGGUCUUGACAUACUAUGCAAAUCUAAGAGAUUAGACGUUCCCUUCGGGGACAUGGAUACAGGUGGUGCAUGGUUGUCGUCAGCUCGUGUCGUGAGAUGUUGGGUUAAGUCCCGCAACGAGCGCAACCCUUAUUAUCAGUUGCCAGCAUUAAGUUGGGCACUCUGGUGAGACUGCCGGUGGCAAACCGGAGGAAGGUGGGGAUGACGUCAAAUCAUCAUGCCCCUUAUGACCUGGGCUACACACGUGCUACAAUGGAUGGUACAACG
This 637-nucleotide ribosomal RNA is filed under the name uncultured bacterium. RNAcentral describes it as "bacterial SSU rRNA". It matches the Rfam family "Bacterial small subunit ribosomal RNA", at positions 607 to 1244 of the family's 1533-position model. The record is from RNAcentral.